GGGGGCGACUUGGAUUCGACGCGGGUCGCGAAACCUUAGGUGCAUGCCGAGGAUGUGGUGAGCCUCGUAAAAAUCACUGCAAAAAAAUAGUUGCCAACGACGACAACUACGCACUCGCCGCUUAAAAACCGGUAGAUGCCGUCCGACUGGAGCCGUGCUUGUGCGUCCAGUAUCGGGCGUCGACUCUCACAAGCUCGUGGUGAAGCGCGCCCGGCGUGGAUCCAUUAAAACUCAACCGGGAUCGCCAGCCGUUGUCCCUGCCUGUCGGGUAGCGUCUGGUUAAACUCAAAGACGGGAUAAGCAUGUAGAGCCGAAGGCGGAGGGCCUGCGGACGCGGGUUCGAUUCCCGCCGCCUCCACCA
This is a non-coding RNA of Thioalkalivibrio sp. K90mix, 361 nucleotides long. NCBI's taxonomy places the organism in Bacteria, Pseudomonadati, Pseudomonadota, Gammaproteobacteria, Chromatiales, Ectothiorhodospiraceae. The record is from Rfam.